UGGCUCUCGCAUCGAUGAAGAACGCAGCGAAAUGCGAUAAGUAAUGUGAAUUGCAGAAUUCAGUGAAUCAUCGAAUCUUUGAACGCACCUUGCGCCUCUUGGUAUUCCGAGAGGCAUGCCUGUUUGAGUGUCAUUAAAUUCUCAACCUCAAAAAGCUUUUGCUUUCUUGAGGAUUGGAUGUGAGGGUUGCUGGCUUUGAGUAAGAGUCAGCUCCCUUUAAAUGCAUUAGUGGAAACCUUGUGUGGACCACAUUGGUGUGAUAAUUAUCUACGCCAUUGGCUUUGUGUCUGCAGUCGAAGUGGUUUUAUUAUUACUUCGGUUUGGAGGGCUGCAGUUGUAAUAGACUGCUCUCUCUGUUGAAGGUAUCUGCUUCAAACCGUCCUAAGUUACUGGACAAGAUUUGAUUUGUUUGACCUCAAAUCAGGUAGGACUACCCGCUGA
Molecule: unclassified non-coding RNA, 441 nt
Filed under: uncultured fungus
Lineage: Eukaryota; Fungi
Description: partial contains 5.8S ribosomal RNA and internal transcribed spacer 2
Rfam family: 5.8S ribosomal RNA (bases 1-133)
Source: RNAcentral